This 1777-nucleotide ribosomal RNA is filed under the name Trachelomonas volvocina. RNAcentral's name for it is "LSU rRNA". It matches the Rfam family "Bacterial large subunit ribosomal RNA", at positions 993 to 2781 of the family's 2925-position model. The record is from RNAcentral. Lineage: Eukaryota; Euglenozoa; Euglenophyceae; Euglenales; Euglenaceae.
GGGGGAUAAGCUUCAUUGUCGAGAGGGAAACAGCCCAGAUUAUCAGUUAAGGCCCCUAAAUAUUUACUAAGUGGUAAAGGAUGUAAUAAUACCUAGACAACCAGGAGGUUGGCUUAGAAGCAGCCAUUCCUUUAAAAAGUGCGUAAUAGCUUACUGGUCAAGUGUUGUUGCGCCGAAAAUGAAUGGGACUAAGUAAAUUGCCGAAGCUAUAAGAUAUUAAAAAUCGGUAGGAGAGCGUCCUGAAAGGUGAGAAGUUUUUGUGAAAACAUUAAAAUGGACUUUUCAGGAGUGAGAAUGUCGGCUUAAGUAACGAAAACAAUGGUGGAAAUCCAUUGCCCCGAAAACCUAAGGUUUCCUUUGCCAGGUUCGUCCACAAAGGGUUAGUCAGAUUCUAAAGUGAAGUUGAAUAGCUUAGUUGAUGAUAAACAGGUUAAUAUUCCUGUACCUUAUAUUAAUUUCUUGCUACGAGUGACGAAGGUGGGAGGAGUCAUCCAAAGAUUGGUUGUUUUGGUUUAAUUUAUCGAGGUUUUGAGGAUUAUUACAAAAAAUAGUUUGAGCUGAGAUGAAGAAUACGAUAUACAUUACGGUGUUAAAAGUGAUUUCCUUCGUACUUCCUAGAAAAACUCUUAUAGUUAAUUUAAUAUAAGUCUGUACCGUAAACUGACACAGGUGGGUGGGUAGAGAAUACUAAGGGGCGCGAGAUAACCCCUUUCUAAGGAACUCGGCAAAAUGACUUUGUAACUUCGGAAGAAAAAGUGCCUCUUUAACAAAGAGGUCGCAGUAAGCAGGUCCAUGCGACAGUUUAUCAAAAACUCAAGUCUCUGCUAAGUCGAAAGACGAUGUAUAGGGGCUGACGCCUGCCCAGUGCCGGAAGGUUAAAGAAAUUGGUUAGCUUUGCGAAGCUGGUGACUGAAGCCCCGGUGAACGGCGGCAAUAACUAUAAUUGUCCUAAGGUAGCGAAAUUCCUUGUCAGGUAAGUUCUGACCCGCACGAAAGGCGUAACGAUAUGGAUACUGUCUCAGAAAGGGACUCGGUGAAAUAGAAUUGACUGUGAAGAUGCGGUCUACCUGCACUUGGACAGAAAGACCCUAUGAAGCUUUACUGUAGCCUGUUAUUGAUUUAGAAUUUCUUUUGCGCAGAAUAGGUGGGAGGCUUUGAAGCUCUUUUUCGGAAGUUGUGGAGCCAAAAUUUGAGAUACCACUCUUAAGAAAUUUGGAAUCUAAUGACAUUCUUAAAUUAUGUUUGAAAAUUUCAGGUGGGCAGUUUUACUGGGGCGGUAGCCUCCUAAAAGGUAACGGAGGCGUGCAAAGGUUUUCUCAAUUUGGGUGGAAAUCAAAUGUAGAGUGUAAAGAUAUAAGAAAGCUUGACUGUGAGACUUACUAGUCAAACAGAGACGAAAGUCGGUCUUAAUGAUCCGACAGUUGCUAGUGGAAGCGCUGUCGCUAAACGGAUAAAAGUUACUCUAGGGAUAACAGGCUGAUCUCCCCCAAGAGUUCACAUCGACGGGGAGGUUUGGCACCUCGAUGUCGGCUCAUCGCAGCCUGGAGCAGUAGUAUGUUCCAAGGGUUGGGCUGUUCGCCCAUUAAAGCGGUACGUGAGCUGGGUUCAGAACGUCGAGAGACAGUUCGGUCCAUAUCCGGUGUAGGCGUUAGAGCAUUGCAAAUAGCUUUCCUUAGUACGAGAGGACCGGGAAAGUCACACCUCUAGUGUGCCAGUUUUUGUGCCAACAGAAGACGCUGGGUAGUUAUGUGUGGAGUGGAUAACUGCUGAAAGCAUA